This 252-nucleotide ribosomal RNA is filed under the name uncultured bacterium. RNAcentral's name for it is "partial 16S ribosomal RNA". It matches the Rfam family "Bacterial small subunit ribosomal RNA", at positions 524 to 776 of the family's 1533-position model. The record is from RNAcentral.
UACGGGGGGGCAAGCGUUGUUCGGAAUUACUGGGCGUAAAGGGCUCGUAGGCGGCCAACUAAGUCAGACGUGAAAUCCCUCGGCUUAACCGGGGAACUGCGUCUGAUACUGGAUGGCUUGAGGUUGGGAGAGGGAUGCGGAAUUCCAGGUGUAGCGGUGAAAUGCGUAGAUAUCUGGAGGAACACCGGUGGCGAAGGCGGGAUCCUGGGCCAGUACUGACGCUGAGGAGCGAAAGCGUGGGGAGCAAACAGG